This 484-nucleotide ribosomal RNA is filed under the name uncultured bacterium. RNAcentral's name for it is "partial 16S ribosomal RNA". It matches the Rfam family "Bacterial small subunit ribosomal RNA", at positions 30 to 507 of the family's 1533-position model. The record is from RNAcentral.
AUUGAACGCUGGCGGCAGGCCUAACACAUGCAAGUCGAGCGGAUGAAGGGAGCUUGCUCCUGGAUUCAGCAGCGGACGGGUGAGUAAUGCCUAGGAAUCUGCCUGGUAGUGGGGGAUAACGUCCGGAAACGGGCGCUAAUACCGCAUACGUCCUGAGGGAGAAAGUGGGGGAUCUUCGGACCUCACGCUAUCAGAUGAGCCUAGGUCGGAUUAGCUAGUUGGUGGGGUAAAGGCCUACCAAGGCGACGAUCCGUAACUGGUCUGAGAGGAUGAUCAGUCACACUGGAACUGAGACACGGUCCAGACUCCUACGGGAGGCAGCAGUGGGGAAUAUUGGACAAUGGGCGAAAGCCUGAUCCAGCCAUGCCGCGUGUGUGAAGAAGGUCUUCGGAUUGUAAAGCACUUUAAGUUGGGAGGAAGGGCAGUAAGUCAAUACCUUGCUGUUUUGACGUUACCAACAGAAUAAGCACCGGCUAACUUCGUG